GGAAGUAAAAGUCGUAACAAGGUUUCCGUAGGUGAACCUGCGGAAGGAUCAUUACCGAGUGAGGGCCCUCUGGGUCCAACCUCCCACCCGUGUUUAUUUUACCUUGUUGCUUCGGCGGGCCCGCCUUAACUGGCCGCCGGGGGGCUUACGCCCCCGGGCCCGCGCCCGCCGAAGACACCCUCGAACUCUGUCUGAAGAUUGAAGUCUGAGUGAAAAUAUAAAUUAUUUAAAACUUUCAACAACGGAUCUCUUGGUUCCGGCAUCGAUGAAGAACGCAGCGAAAUGCGAUACGUAAUGUGAAUUGCAAAUUCAGUGAAUCAUCGAGUCUUUGAACGCACAUUGCGCCCCCUGGUAUUCCGGGGGGCAUGCCUGUCCGAGCGUCAUUGCUGCCCUCAAGCCCGGCUUGUGUGUUGGGCCCCGUCCCCCGAUCUCCGGGGGACGGGCCCGAAAGGCAGCGGCGGCACCGCGUCCGGUCCUCGAGCGUAUGGGGCUUUGUCACCCGCUCUGUAGGCCCGGCCGGCGCUUGCCGAUCAACCCAAAUUUUUAUCCAGGUUGACCUCGGAUCAGGUAGGGAUACCCGCUGAACUUAAGCAUAUCAAUAAGCGGAGGA
Molecule: ribosomal RNA, 610 nt
Filed under: Penicillium commune
Lineage: Eukaryota; Fungi; Ascomycota; Eurotiomycetes; Eurotiales; Aspergillaceae
Description: eukaryotic LSU rRNA
Rfam family: 5.8S ribosomal RNA (bases 231-383)
Source: RNAcentral